AUUGAACGCUGGCGGCAUGCUUUACACAUGCAAGUCGAACGGCAGCGCGGGCUUCGGCCUGGCGGCGAGUGGCGAACGGGUGAGUAAUGCAUCGGAACGUGCCCAGUGGUGGGGGAUAGCCCGGCGAAAGCCGGAUUAAUACCGCAUACGACCUGAGGGUGAAAGCGGGGGACCGAAAGGCCUCGCGCUAUUGGAGCGGCCGAUGUCGGAUUAGCUAGUUGGUGGGGUAAAGGCUUACCAAGGCGACGAUCCGUAGCUGGUCUGAGAGGACGACCAGCCACACUGGGACUGAGACACGGCCCAGACUCCUACGGGAGGCAGCAGUGGGGAAUUUUGGACAAUGGGGGCAACCCUGAUCCAGCCAUGCCGCGUGCGGGAAGAAGGCCUUCGGGUUGUAAACCGCUUUUGUUCGGGAAGAAAUCCUCUGGGCUAAUACCCCGGGGGGAUGACGGUACCGGAAGAAUAAGCACCGGCUAACUACGUG
RNAcentral lists this ribosomal RNA (484 nucleotides) under uncultured bacterium. RNAcentral describes it as "partial 16S ribosomal RNA". It matches the Rfam family "Bacterial small subunit ribosomal RNA", at positions 28 to 507 of the family's 1533-position model. The record is from RNAcentral.